Molecule: ribosomal RNA, 305 nt
Filed under: uncultured bacterium
Lineage: Bacteria
Description: bacterial SSU rRNA
Rfam family: Bacterial small subunit ribosomal RNA
Source: RNAcentral
GUUCCUACGGGACGCAGCAGUGAGGAAUAUUGGUCAAUGGCCGGGAGGCUGAACCAGCCAAGUCGCGUGAGGGAAGACGGCCCUACGGGUUGUAAACCUCUUUUGUCAGGGAGCAAGGUGCAGGUCGGGACCUGCUGUGAGAGUACCUGAAGAAAAAGCAUCGGCUAACUCCGUGCCAGCAGCCGCGGUAAUACGGAGGAUGCGAGCGUUAUCCGGAUUUAUUGGGUUUAAAGGGUGCGCAGGCGGCACGGCAAGCCGGCGGUCAAAUCGCGGGGCUCAACCCCGCCCAGCCGUCGGAACUGCCG